RNAcentral lists this ribosomal RNA (207 nucleotides) under uncultured bacterium. Its description in RNAcentral is "partial 16S ribosomal RNA". It matches the Rfam family "Bacterial small subunit ribosomal RNA", at positions 568 to 774 of the family's 1533-position model. The record is from RNAcentral.
UGCGUAGGCGGUUCUGUGUGUCAGAUGUGAAAUCUCACCGUCCAACGGUGAAACUGCAUUUGAAACUGCAGGGCUAGAGUACAGGAGGGGAGAGCGGAAUUCUUGGUGUAGCGGUGAAAUGCGUAGAUAUCGAGAAGAACGCCGGUGGCGAAGGCGGCUCUCUGGACUGAUACUGACGCUGAGGCACGAAAGUUGGGGGAGCGAACA